UUUCACAAUCUGCUUAACAAAUUCAACAAUAGACAACGUUGAUGACAGCAAAUGCACGAAAGUACCUAACCCAAUCGGCAACGGCGAAACCAGAUCUUUCCCAUUUGGGUCCGCUGGACAGAUCGUUUUCAUAGAAAAAGAUGAAGAAUCGACUGGACCGUUGACACUUUGCGAAGUACAGGUGUUUGUUAACGUCUGUUCCACGUCAACAACGAUGGAAUCCACGGAAUUAACGCAAAAAACAGAGUCUUCUACUUUCGGAACACCAUCAAGUUGUCCUCCCUGUGAAUGCAAUUGCCGAGCGAACGCCACUACCCCAAAAACCAAAGAGGAACUGGAGGAGCAGAUUAAAACUCUCAAGAGAGAGCUAACCAUCGAUAAGAAACAGACAAGCGCAAACAAAAGGAAGUUGAUAUCUGCACCUGAUGACCGCACGUCCUCGAAGUAUAUCGGAGUUGUUGGUGUAAUAAUGUUAUGUUUUCCCGUAGUUGUCAUUGUGACCAUGGACAUUUCUCGACUUGCAUCCUGGUUGCAUAGCAACAAAAUUGGCAUUAAAGCUAAGGUAUAAUACAGUGUAAUGAUUUUUUUUACUAAAACCUGCUUUUGUUUAGAUAUAUAUCCUACAAGUAGGAUGUAAAUAUUGUGCUUACCUCCCCAUCGCACGAGGUGAAUAAAUGUGGGAUUUCCAAAUGGCCUAAGAAACAAAUACUAUAAACGUGGAACUGUACGCGAGGGUGAAAAUUACGCUAAAUACGCAGAGUCCUUUUAAUCGCGAAAAUUUCCCCCACCCGUAUUAUUUGAUAUCAAUUUGCGUAAUCUCGAGCUACAAAUGGAAAUAGCGAAGAUGUAUCGAUCGCAAAAACUACAGUGUACCACACGCGUAUAGUGUACAUAUCGAUAUCGUGAAUUUAACCCUCGCGAAAAUUAUCGCGAAUUUAACCCCCGCGAAAAUAAUCACGUUUACAGUACAUUUUCUGAGGAUCUAAAAUACAACUUCUUAUUGUAGUUCAUUCGUAAUUAUUUGCUAAAAAAUAUCUCCAAACAGUAUAAAAUAAGUUGCCCAAAAUUAAUGAUCAGGAAUUUUGUGUAAAGUAAUUG
Molecule: long non-coding RNA, 1098 nt
Organism: Pecten maximus
Lineage: Eukaryota; Metazoa; Mollusca; Bivalvia; Pectinida; Pectinidae
Exons: 3
Source: RefSeq, a predicted model, not a curated record